GAUGAACGCUGGCGGCGUGCCUAAUACAUGCAAGUCGAGCGAACGGACGAGAAGCUUGCUUCUCUGAUGUUAGCGGCGGACGGGUGAGUAACACGUGGAUAACCUACCUAUAAGACUGGGAUAACUUCGGGAAACCGGAGCUAAUACAGGAUAAGAUUUUGAACCGCAUGGUUCAAAAGUGAAAGACGGUCUUGCUGUCACUAAUAGAUGGAUCCGCGCUGCAUUAGCUAGUUGGUAAGGUAACGGCUUACCAAGGCUACGAUGCAUAGCCGACCUGAGAGGGUGAUCGGCCACACUGGAACUGAGACACGGUCCAGACUCCUACGGGAGGCAGCAGUAGGGAAUCUUCCGCAAUGGGCGAAAGCCUGACGGAGCAACGCCGCGUGAGUGAUGAAGGUCUUCGGAUCGUAAAACUCUGUUAUUUGGGAAGAACAUAUGUGUAAGUAACUGUGCACAUCUUGACGUUACCUAAUCAGAAAGCCCCGGCUAACUACGUG
Molecule: ribosomal RNA, 497 nt
Filed under: uncultured bacterium
Lineage: Bacteria
Description: partial 16S ribosomal RNA
Rfam family: Bacterial small subunit ribosomal RNA
Source: RNAcentral